GUUGCAGGGUAUAGACCCGAAACCCGGUGAUCUAGCCAUGGGCAGGUUGAAGGUUGGGUAACACUAACUGGAGGACCGAACCGACUAAUGUUGAAAAAUUAGCGGAUGACCUGUGGCUGGGGGUGAAAGGCCAAUCAAACCGGGAGAUAGCUGGUUCUCCCCGAAAGCUAUUUAGGUAGCGCCUCGUGAAUUCAUCUCCGGGGGUAGAGCACUGUUUCGGCUAGGGGGCCAUCCCGGCUUACCAACCCGAUGCAAACUGCGAAUACCGGAGAAUGUUAUCACGGGAGACACACGGCGGGUGCUAACGUCCGUCGUGAAGAGGGAAACAACCCAGACCGCCAGCUAAGGUCCCAAAGUCAUGGUUAAGUGGGAAACGAUGUGGGAAGGCCCAGACAGCCAGGAUGUUGGCUUAGAAGCAGCCAUCAUUUAAAGAAAGCGUAAUAGCUCACUGGUCGAGUCGGCCUGCGCGGAAGAUGUAACGGGGCUAAACCAUGCACCGAAGCUGCGGCAGCGACGCUGAUGCGUUGUUGGGUAGGGGAGCGUUCUGUAAGCCUGCGAAGGUGGCCUGUGAGGGUUGCUGGAGGUAUCAGAAGUGCGAAUGCUGACAUAAGUAACGAUAAAGCGGGUGAAAAGCCCGCUCGCCGGAAGACCAAGGGUUCCUGUCCAACGUUAAUCGGGGCAGGGUGAGUCGACCCCUAAGGCGAGGCCGAAAGGCGUAGUCGAUGGGAAACGGGUUAAUAUUCCCGUACUUGGUGUUACUGCGAAGGGGGGACGGAGAAGGCUAUGUUGGCCGGGCGACGGUU
RNAcentral lists this ribosomal RNA (803 nucleotides) under Salmonella enterica. Its description in RNAcentral is "partial 23S ribosomal RNA". It matches the Rfam family "Bacterial large subunit ribosomal RNA", at positions 699 to 1503 of the family's 2925-position model. Lineage: Bacteria; Pseudomonadati; Pseudomonadota; Gammaproteobacteria; Enterobacterales; Enterobacteriaceae. RNAcentral also lists the same sequence under 1 other name. The record is from RNAcentral.